Molecule: long non-coding RNA, 22157 nt
Filed under: Coffea arabica (coffee)
Lineage: Eukaryota; Viridiplantae; Streptophyta; Magnoliopsida; Gentianales; Rubiaceae
Description: long non-coding RNA (CARA_LNC001965)
Source: RNAcentral
GAUCGUUGGAGGGAGCUCGAGUUGGUUAAGAAACAGAUUGGGAGUAGAGAAAAUGAGCUUGAUAAGAAAGAGGAAAAGUUGGAGAGUUUAGAGAAGGAGAUUGAGUUGAGGGAAAAGGUUUUGGAUUCAAAACAGGGGAUGCUUGAAGCUAGAGAAAGUGAGCUUGAGGCUAGGAAAAGGUUUUGGAGUUACAGAAGGAGCUUGUCAUGAAACAGAGAGAGCUUGACUCUGCUCAGAAAAGCAAGGAAUGUUGUUCUAAUAAACCGGCUUCAAUAAAUCCAACACCAUCCUCGGAAAGGACAAAGAAAAGAAGAAAAAGUGAAGACAAGGGCGCAUAUGAGAAUGACUCUGAACAACAUGCUGUCAUUGAUCUGGUUGGAUCAGACUCUGGUGAUUCAGGUCGUUCAGGUUCGGGAUGUGAUCUAAAUGAGUCCCAUUCAGUGUCAGAAUCCGAUUCAGCUUAUUCGGGUUCAGCAUGUGAUCUCGGUGAGGCAGGUUUAGGCUUGGCCAAUUCAAACUCAGAUUCGUACUCAGCUUCUUGUGAUUCUUCAGGUUUUGAAAACUCAAGUCCUAUUUAUCAUUCAAACAAAUUGUUUAAUGACUUCAGAAGAACAUACACCUUAAGCAGCUUUCGUGUUGGUCAAAUUUGGGCUUGUUCUUAUCAUAGUAGUAAUGAUAAGAUACAAAAAUUAUAUGCAAGGAUCCUGAAGGUGCGUGAUCCUAUUGUUCGUGUUGCAUGGCUCCAGCCUGUGGCACAUUAUCCACGUGCAAUGCCGUAUAAGAGGUCCAAAAGUGUGAAGUUACCUGCUACAAAGCAGGGUUGGAAGGAGUGGAUAGAUGCUGGCUUACCAGCUGGUUGUGGUGGAUUUAUGUGUGGUGAAGAAGAGGCCUUGUCAUUAUCUCGUUGUAACUUUUCGCAUCAAGUUUGCUACAAAGAGACUGUUACUUCUUGGCAUCUUGUUAGUCCUUACUUAAUUCAUCCUCAAGAGGGAGAGACUUGGGCCCUCUAUAAGGAUUGGAAUACUAAUUGCAGGGCUUCUGAACCUGAUAAUCAUUUACGCUGCCAGUAUGAGAUAGUUGAGAUUGUCCAGAGAAAUUCUUUUGACACUAGAGUUGCUUACUUGGAUAAAUUGGAAGGAUAUGCAAGUUUAUAUCACAGAAGAAGCCAUGAUAAGGAGGAUAUUUUUGUGAUACACGAUGAAGAAUUCUUUAGGUUCUCCCACAAAGUACUUUCUUUUAGGAUGAGCAGCUAUAAAAGGGAAGGUGUACCAGAGGGAUGUUUUGAACUUGAUCCCAAGUCGCUGCCUGCAGUUUUUUGAUGAACUUUGCAACAUUCAGGUAUAAAAGUUAUGAUGUCCAUUUCAGUGUGUUUAUGUAAAUUUUUCCAUUUUGCAAUUUUCAGUUACUCCAUUUGAGCUGCAGUGUGGAGAGGCUUUUUUUACUGGAUUGCAAAGGUUAAUCUGUGAAUUCAUUGCUAAUUUAUUUGGCAAAAAUAAAGAAUUCUCUGUAAUAUGGCAUGCAGCUUGACACCAGUACCAGCCAGUCAAAUGUAAUAUUUACAAGUAAUAAUUUUCAUCAUUAAAUAAAACUUGUUAAGCUUGAAUUUGAUGAGUAUCAUCUACCAUGCACUAAGAAUUAAAAUGGGUAUAGGUAUAGAACUGUUGCGUAAUGUUCCUAAAGUGGCAUUGAUAAAAAUUCUGGAUAAUAUUUGUACUUCUUUCUAUCCUUCUAACAGAUUGCAUCAUAGUGUUUUGGUAUAGAAUAAAAUAUUUUUGAGCCCCAAGGGACUGGUGGUUGAGAGAAACUCUUGCAAUACCACAACACUGCUGGUUGUAAUUGCCGUACAAUCUCCCACUAGAAAAAUAGAAGGAUGGAACAAAACAAUGAUUUUCCAUUUUUUGAAACAUCCAAAACAAGCCUUAGCAAGGAUUUCUAUUACGGUCUUCACCUCUCAAUUCACUGUUUAGUUAGCUCUCUCUCUCUCUCUCUCUCUCCCUCCCUCCCUCCCUCACACACACAUGCGCACAAUCAAAUGAUCAUUGAAGCUACUCUGUCCUUGUUUUGUGGCAAUGCUUGUUGAGAAUUAUAUCAGUUGAUAAAUUGGAUGUUUUCCUAUUUUGCAAUUGAAUUGCAUGAUGUAGGUUAGUUGCUGGAUGAAUUAUGAACCAUGUGAAGUUCCGGCUCUAUUGCAGUUACUCUUAAGUUUCUUUUACAAUUCACUGCAUCGUUUUUGUAAUUUUCUACUCUGUUAGGUUUUUCUAAAGCAAAUACUUGAAUGAUGGUCUUCCUGUGCUGGAUUAGAAGUUCUUAUGCAGUCCAGUUAUUGAAAACAAUGCCAGUUUCUAGCCUACUGUCUGUGCAACCUGAAUGGAGCUACAUUACAUUUGUGCCAAAGUUCAAUUUCAGUAGUGAUUGCUUCAAGUUCUUUCUGUAUGAAUCCUGUCCUUUUGUCUCUUCUUGUCAAAGUUUAUAGUCCUUGAGUCACCAAAACUUUCUCUGGACUACACCGUCUCUUGCUGCAAAAUGCAGAAUCAAGAUUGCUUCCCACAAUUGGGAAAUUUAAUUCUGUUCUCCUUGUCAAUGUCCACUCUUGUUGCUCUUUUGGUACUAAUUUAGAUCCAUUCAUACUUGUCUUUCCCAUUCCAAGUUCCACUUAGCUCUUGCUGUAAUGCUUUGAUGGCCUUGCUUAGCAUGAGGAAAAAUUCUCAAAGACAUGACUCAGGUCCACGAUUUCUUGAUCUUAUCAAUACUCACAAGUGGCAUUUUAUUAUCUUUACUAGGUGGAGGUUGUACAAGUAUGCUUUUUGUGUCGGUUUUGUUGGAAUUACUAAAUUUAUUAGUUUGUUGACACGUGGGAUGCACCCAUUCCAUAAAUUUGUUCACUGAUGCUUAAUUCUUUACAGCUUCUAGCUUGACAUAUUUUACAGAGAAUAAGUUUUUGAAACUUUUGCCACUCUUCUGAUUGUAUCUGUCAUGAAACAUACUAUAAAAAUCUCACCAUGCAUGGUGUUGCCAACUCUUAUUAUGUUGCUGCACUCUUUAGAAAGGAGAAUUAAGAAAUUUAUAUUUAGCACUACUAAGUAAUCUUUUGUGGAUUCAAAGUGUUUCUGAGCUAAGAAUGAUGGAUUCAUAUGGCUAUUUUUGGUAUUUUGUGUGUAGAUCUAGAAGCCAGAUGUCAACCGUAGUCAUAAUUAAUCUGCAAGAAACUUUUCAAUGUUCAAGCACCUGCUAUCAUCCAGGUCAAGAGUGUGGACAAAUUUGCUGGUACCUAAUAGAAUUAUACAGAUAAUUCUGGUACUUGGAUAUGUUUACAUUGCCGGGUGUGUCAAGUUAGAUAUCCCUGUUAGCUAGCCUUUGCGGCUAUUUCUAUGCCUGUUUAGCAUAACAUGCAGGUGCAUGGUCUUCUGCAUCCACAUGAGAUAAAGCUGAGCCUAAAUGAGACAAAGCCUGCCCGAUGCGCUACUCUCAUCAUGAGUGGUGAUGUGUAUCUUUUUUCUUUUUUUUUUUAAUCUGGUGCAAUGGUGAUGUGUCUAAAUUUUUUCUUUUUAUAAUUUUCUAGUAGCUAAAGAAAGCUAUCUGCUUCAAAACAAUCGAGUUAUCAGGAUUUUCCACCUUUUAAGGUUGUAGAUAUUUCCACAUAAAAUGUUUCGCUUGUUCAGUUGAUAUGAGUUGUGGCUUUUUUACACUGACAUCCAUCAGCAUCAGUUGGCUUACUUCUUGAAGUUCAACUUGUCUGACUCAAGCGAACCUGAUGUAUAAAUAUGUCAGUUUCUUUGGUUAGAUCUUUCACUUUCCAAGACUAAUAUUGAUGAUUCUCUCUGUCUAUCUCUCAAGUUUACUUCUCAAAGAGUAUGACAUUGAGUUCAGGAUUACUCUUUUAGGUAAUUGGUAUUCUAAUCAAAGACUUGUUAGGAUACUGUAAUGUACUUGGUUCAAUAGGAGAAAAAAAAAAAUUCCUAGAUAGAAGCUGAGUGCUCUAUCCUUGAAACGGUAACAUGAGUAAAUGACUCGUAUGUGUAGUGUUGAUCUAAUGCAAGCAUGGGUACCACACACCCCCCCGCACCCCACCAUAACACCCAAAAAAAAAAAAAAAAACUGUGAGAUGGGUGGAAUUUAAGAAACGGAGAGGAGAAAGGGAGAUUGGAAUCAGGGCCUUUAAUUCCUAGAGUCUCAAUUUUAACGACUAGAUAAUGCAAGCAUGUUAGCAUUGCUAUCAAAACGCAAAUUUUGAGAACCCGUUUUGAUCUUCGCUACAAGAGUUAUUCUAGUACAUCAGUCAUCAGCCAACAGUUCCUGUCACCAGCUCCAAAAUUUAGAAGUUGCAAGCUCUAGUUGUAGCUCUGUGUGCCCAGAAUAAUUGUCUAGUGGACCAGUGGCGGAUUUACACUGGGGGCGCGAGCCCCCACUGGCCCCCUUAAAUUUAUAAGAUAUCUAUAAAAAUUUGAUGUAAUUUCACCUGUGCCCUCUGAAGUUUUGUAUAUCUAUUGGUUUAUAGGUCCCCACUGCCCCCCUUAAAUUUCUAUAAUACCUAUAAAAAUUUGAUGUAAUUUCAAGUGUGUCCUCUGGAGUUUUGUGUAUAUAUUAGUUUAUAUGCUUUUAAAGUUGUCUUUGAUUUUACCUGUUAUUACAGCUACUGUAGAAAUGGUUUUUUCAAUAAUGAAUAUAGUUAAGAAUCGGUUACAAAAUAGAAUGGAAGACACUUGGAUGAAUAAUUAUUUAGUUACUUAUAUUAAAAAAAUAUACUUCGUAAAGUUCAAAAUAAAAAGGUUGUAAACCGUUAUCAAAAUAUGAAAACUCGUUAUGAGCAAUUAUAAAUAGUUUAGUUUGCUUUUGAAAUACAAUUAUUAUUACAUUAAUAAUUUUGAGUUUGUCUUUUGAUAUUUUUCAUGAAAUAUAUGCAUCAUUUGUACUUGUUGAUAAAUAUUUUUUUUCCUUAAAAAACUAAAAAAAGAGUAGAUAAAAAAUUUUAGAGUUGCUUCUGCUUCCGCUGAAAAUUUUUUCUGGCUCCGCCACUAUAGUGGACGGCAAUCAUGUAAACCUGAUGAAGGUUCUCCUAUGUUGAUGUUAUCAUAUAAAUCAGCCUUCUUAAUAGUUAAGUAUUAUUAUACUAUGAUGUACAAUGCUGUUAUUAAGGGUUAAGUAUGUCGAUCAAGACAAGUAUAUACACACAGCAUGAGGGAUUACGGCGAUGGGCCAUUUUGUGAUCUAUCUGUUUUUAGUACUCUUAUUACAAAAUGGUCCAAGUAUAUUAAAAAAGUUAUGUACAACUUUUAGUUUUAGAAUUUGAAAUUAAGUUGAUAACUACCCAAAUAACUAAUCAUCUUUACAUUUUAAUUUUCCCCAAUCAUCAUCAUUGUCAAUCGACAUAUUUGGACAUAAAAGAUUAAAAAAAAAAGAACAAAGACGUGUGAAUUCUUCAUCAGUGUCAAUCGAGAAACAGAUAAUGAGAAUAAUCCCCAAUCAUCAUCUUUCAACACAUUUGAAUAAACAGGCAGACUAAUAGUAUCAUUAAUGGGUUCGGUUCCAAUAGAAGGGGUAGUUUUUUUUUCUUCUUUUUGGUGAAACUCAAGAAAGAAGAACAAAAGACUCGAAUUAAUGGGUGGACGUGGACAGAGAAACUUUAUCUUUUCUUAGGCCGGACAAGGAUCUCACUCACCUACAUCAUUCAAAGCAUAUGUCAUUUGUACCCUCAAAAAAAAAAAAAAAAAAAAAAAAAAAUGUGUCAUUUCCAAAAGAAGGAAAAUCCUGGUAUUAAAAGCUGUAGAAUCUUCAUUUAAAGUUGCAUUCUUCUUCAUGGGUCGCUACCACUAGUUAAAAUAGUACCUCUACUAUUUAGUAAUGGGGGGCUGGUAAUUUUGAUGCUUAUCAGGUAUUGAGAACGAUGGAAAACUAGAAUUAAUACUAAGUGAAGAUUGCAAGACUUAUUUUUUUUUACCACAUACUAGUGGUAUGGAAUUUAUCUGGUUUAGAGUAAACAUUAAAGAAUAAGGAUUAAAAGUAUAAAAUCAUUAUCUUAUCUUAUUCUUUACUACGUAUUACUAAGUUUUGAUAGCCACUAUGUACGCCUUCAAGAUUUUUCUUUUUUGGGUAAGAAAUAUAAAAGUUUAUUAUGAUAAUUGAAAAUUAGCCAUUAGAAUAAGAUCUACAAAUGAAGGAGCAUAUGCUCCCAAAUAGAUUAAUGAUUGCCAGCAUUGGGCAUAUAUCUAGCGAAAGAGUGAGUUACAAUUUUACGAAUUACAAUAUUUACCCAGUCACUUUAAAACGUGAGAGAGUCAAUUCUGCCAACAUUAGAUUGCAGAUCUUCAAGUAUUGGACCUGCAGUAGAGUGACAAGUGAAACACAAAACGAGUUCAAGAUUAAUGCUACUAUCUUUUUCCCUUAAUUAACGAUCCAAAUAUAAUUAAAAUUUCAAAAGUUUAUCUCAAACAAAAAAGCAAUUUCAAAAACGCAUUUUGUCAAAACGAUAGAAAAGAAUUUCCAAAAGUCAAGAGGUGGACGAUCUUUUGAUUUGUAUAUGUCGUAUAUCGCUUUGAGUAGAAUUUUCUGAAUUUUAAUACAUUUUACAGGUGGAUGAAACUACUGUAAUUGUCGUACGUUGAGUUAGUCAAAUGUCAUCAUAUUAAAGAUGGAAUCCAAUAAAGCGGCUACACCAAAAUAAUUUUGCAAUACGGAGAAUUGAAACAAAAGAAAAAGUUAUUGUGGGCUCAUUAAAAUUUUUGAGACGAGCACAUAGAGGAUGUGUACUUUUAUUCAUCCCAUUCUAUCAAACAAUUAAUGUAGUUGGAGUCCAUGUAAAGAUCCUUUACUCCUCUAUCCAACCAAGAGUACAUGGAACCCCUGCAGAAAAUAACUAUGGUAACAUUUAGUAUAUAUCAAUUAUUCAUAAUUAAUCUCAAGUUGUGAAUGCCUUCAUACAAAGCAUGGAACGUAGUAGAUCAUUUACGUGCAUGCAUGGGCAGCACUCAGCAGUCGUGCCUGCAGACGCACAAGACUCUGCCAACUCCGGGGGCUUUUUUGCAGAGUGCCUGGGGAUGAAGGUUACUGAAGUAGGUGUUGCACAAUGAGAGACAACACAGAGCAUCGCAGGUUGCGUCGCAUACACCUACACCAUCUGUGCAUCUUUAAGGCGGGAUGAUUGGGGUUGAUCCUUGAGCCAUCACCAUCUAGUUGUUGCCACCUUGCAUGCAUUAAUUAAUAAUAUCAAUAUUUAUCACCACAUGAAAUUAUUAUGGCACAAAAAUGCAUGUAAGCCAACUUUUCAGUGAUGCAUAUACUAUUAGUAUUAGACAAGAAAAAAUGGGCAUGGAAAAAAAUAUAAAAAUUUAAGUUCGAAAUAUUUAAUUAUCACUGAAAAAAAGAAUUGUUUUCAAGAAAUAGUUGUAAUAUACUUAUUAAGUUGUGUUGAUAUGACUCGUGAAAUUUUACCUGAUGCAAAAAAGGAGAACAAGGAUAACGCAGCAGAUUGCUCUUGCAAUGGCCAUCUUUCCCAGGAUGAGGCCUAGGUUGGCUGGCAAGUGCCUAGGAUUUUCAAUUGUUCGAUCCUGCUAUAUGUGCUGCAAAUCUUAGAGGAAGCUAUUCAUACUAGCUGUAAAUUUUCCUCGCGAACCAAACAAAUAAAUAAGGUAGGUAAUUUAGUGAGGCCAAUGUAUACAGCUGUGGAUUUUAAUAAAUAGCUGAUACGUUCAGCUGAUAUUUCUGCAUCUUUUCAAUGAGAUAUUGAAACAGGGACACCAUUUAGCAGCAAUGAAGCCGUGUUCAGUGGACAAGCAUUAUCUUAGAAGAUUGUGUUACAAUUGCUACUAUUUUUUCUUACUUCAACAUAAAAGGGCAAAAAACCUUAAUGACUACUGAACACUAUUGUUCGGAUCAUGUUUUGGACAUCAAACUAUUUUUCGUCAAUAAUUGAUCACUAAAUAACUUAAUCAGUAAACUUGUGACCAUUUAAUCGAUAAUUGCUUAUAAUAUGUGAAAUUAGCGAUUAAUCCGUGAAGGCAUAAAUUUGUGUAGCCUCGGUCUACGGCCCCAACUAUAGACCAUGCGGUAUACAAUUUGCCACAUCAUCAAUAAUACGAAUCAAAACUAUCAUAUACCAGACUUCUAGCCCUGUUCAUUGCUCAGCUUCAGUUCUCUUCGUCUUCUGCUUAACAGUGGUCGGUGGCUUUACCAGAAUUGGAUCUCUCAAUUUUCCUCCCAUUUGUUUUUUGUUUUUUGUUUUUCCUCUUUCUAUUUGUUCUUUCCCAAAUACUGGUACUAGUACAUAUCAGAAUUGAGUGGCAACAAAACACCUCGUCUAGGUUAUGGUUUCUUUUUGCUUUCAUCCCCACUCAACAUCCUUCAAAGUACCAAAGCCCAAAUAUUUUUCUUUAAUACCUAGUUUAAUUUUUGGUUGAAUUUUUCUUGUAAUUUUGGAGUAUGCAUUUGGGUUUCUCGAUGUAGCUUUAACAAAAAUUUUUGAAACCUAGGUCUUGUGUGAGAGAUGAAGAAAACACAAAGGAGAUGGAGAAUGAAGUGGCGGCCGCUAGUUCAAAGGAGAUGGAAAUGACCACUAUCCCAGAGCAACAAGUGAUUUGGUAGUCGCCGACAACGGUUUUCAUAGGAAACAAGAUUAUGACUAUAAGGAUCUAUUGAAUGAUUUUAAUGUCCUUGGAGAAUUUUCUAAUGAGGAAUUUGGGGUUUAAAAUUAGGAGGGAGUAUGUGAGAAAACAGUAAUCAGACAGCUGUGGUUGUGAAUCCAUCUUUGUCGACGCCGCCACUGGAUAGUGUAGGAGCAGGAAAGUUGAGGAUAGUGUAGGAGCAGGAAAGUUGAGGCACUUUGUGAGGAAUUCUGCUGAUUGAGAGUCUAGUGGACUGUCCAUCUGCAUCUCCAUCUGGUGGUGGCAGGCUGAUUGGGGAUACGGGGCAGAACGACCGCUCCUGAACGGUCUCCUCACAAGACCCAAAUGUGAGGCGAGAAAUAUUCCACGUCAGGAAGCCUUCAACAGGCCCCAAAAACGACGGCGUUUCAAAAAAAAAAAGUUUAGCCAAAACGGGAACAUGACGGACCAAACGGAAGAGUUUGAAUUUUGAAAAUCAAGUUCAAAAUUUGAAUCAGCCGCAUAAAACAAAACUGAGAGAAAAGAGGAGGUAUCCUGCUGAAAGUAGCAAUUGACAGAAAAGUGGGUGGAGAGAGCUGGGGUAUGGUGUUGAGUGAAUAAGGAAGAAAGCAAACAAAAAAGUGGAGAGCCACACAAAACAAAACUGAGGGAAGAGAGGAGACGUCCUGCUGCAGGUAGCAAUUGACAGAAAAUUGGGUGGAGAGAGUUGGGGUAUGGUGUUGAGUGCAUAAGGAAGAAAGCAAACAGUGCAGUGAGAGUGUUGUAUGCAUUUUGAAGCUGGGUAUGAGAGUGUUGUAUCCAUUUUGAAUGCGUGCAAGGCAGGCGGCAAGGUAGAAGCAAACAGAGGAAAUUAAUCAUCUCACGAAGCCAGAUUUUGUCGUGCAACUUAAUAGCAUAAGCAACUGCGCUCUCCGAGUUCGGUGAAACAUAAAGCGUAUGGUGAAGACCAAGGUAAUGUUACUGAAUACAGUCUGUUAAAUGAGUAAUAUGUAGUUGGUCUAUGCUCAUCAUGCAAUCUUAGUUUGCUCCUCUCCUGACCAUGCAGUGUGUAUAAAAUGAAGACGUAAAGUUCAUUGAGGUGAAGCAGAUGAAAAGACAUAUAUGUGAAUAAUAAAAGGGUGUACCUGGUGUUGUAAGUUAAUUACAUAAUGUAAGAAAUAUAUUACAAUGAGUAGAAAAUACUUUGUUUGGCCCUCAAAAUGUAGAAAUAGUAGAAAAUGCGCAAUUGGCUUAGGCGCUUGUUAUUAACGAAUGAUAUAAGAUCCAGUGAGCUAAAGAACCUAGAACCUAAAUAUAAUCAGCAGAGUGGAUGUACAUACAAUUAAAAUAGAUUUACACCGUGUGACCAAUACGUUACAGUCUAUAUAACUUAGUGUACAUGGAAUUCUAUUAGUACAUAAAUAAUGCCGUUGUCUUAGAAUAAAAGUAAGGUGAUGUGAUUCAUUAAUCGUAUUGAUAAGUGUAAUAAUAGGAUUUGGUAUACGAGUAAUGUGUGAUUCAUAAUACAUUAUGAAUGGUAAUAUACAUUUAUCUUGUCGUUUAUGUACAUACAAUUCAUGAAGUGUUACAAAUUAUGGUGUUUGAUGCAUAAUUGGUAGGAGCAGAAAUAAUGAAUUGCAGCAAAUUGACAGAAGAUAGGAUCCCUGAGUUGGGAAUGGAGUUUAACAGUGAAGAGAAUACGUACAAGUUUUACAACAAAUAUGCCUUUAAAAUGAAUUUUAGUAUACGCAAAAACUAUCUGAAUAAAGAUAAAGAUGGCGUGACCACGUCUAGGAGAUAUAGUUGCUACAAGGAAAGUGUGAAGUGCAAGUACGAAGGUGAUGUGAUGCCAAAGAGGACACGAGCGCCGACGAAAAUGAUCUGAAUGUGGAGGAACGUGAUAAGAUUCAAUUUGUGAAUGAAAUGGGAGAGACAGUAAUCGCAAGAGGAUUUAAAAACUGUACCAGUGGGAAGAGAAGUAAAGUGAUGCGAAGUUGGGUCGAUAAAUUUGACAGAUUAAAAAGAAAAUCUAGAUUGUCAAGAACUACACAGACUACGGUAAGGAUCCAAUAACUAUUAUGGUAAACAUUUAUGCUACAACAAUGUUAUCGUAAUUCCCUAUCUACAAUCCAUAAGUACCAUUCACUAUAAAAUAACAUUAUUGUCGUGUCAAUAAUACAGGUCUCAGAAUCGGAGCCGACAUCGAUUUCAUUUGAUGAACACAUGUUUAUGGGAUGCCGUUCAUCAAUUGACUCAGUUUCGGUUAGUAUAAAAUAAACAUGGCUUUAACUUUUAUUUGGAUGUUUCUUACAGCACAAUUAGUUAUGAUGAUGUUACAUUGUGUGAUGAUUUUGUUACGGCUGACAUCCCUCAUGAUAUACUCUUUUUGUCUGUUUUAUAUAAUUAUUUGGCCCAUACAAAAUUCGUAGAUGCAUUCAAUGAGUUAGUCAGUGAAUGGCCCUCCAAACACUGUUGCUCCCGAAAUCGAGGAAAGUCUAACGGUAUGCAUACAUUUAAUAGAUAAAAUAAGGUCCUUUUUUCGUAUCGUAGAGCUACUUUUUGUUUAAUUGUAAUGGUGGGCACCCGAACGCUAUCGAAGCAUGCAUAUUUUGUAGUUAACAUAUAAUGCUUUAAUGACAUAUUAUUUUGUAUUAUCCGAAAGUCCACCGAUUGGCUAAUCAAGGGCCUCAUGGCAGUGUCCCUACAGAAUGGAUGCACCCCAAAUUUUUUAUAUUUUUCAAACAUAACUCCGUCAGAGAUAUUUUAAUGGUUUGAAAUAUCAUUUUUUAUAGUGUCUAGUCCAAUUUAGCUUUGGAACUGAGCAAUAUAGGCAUUGCUAAUGAGUUGUUGAUAAUUGAAUAAUUAUAUUGUACAACGUAGGCGGAGCGUGCAACAAUUUCAACACACUGUAAUAAGGAUGCAUAUAAUGUAUUUUCACCAUCACCCCAGGUGACAAGCUUUUAUCAUUACCCCAUAUAUAUAUGGUGUCUUGUUAAUUGGAUAUUUCGACAGCGUAUAUCAUUAACCGUAUGUAUCAUUAACUGUAUUGACUGAUUUGUCAUUGUUACGUAUUUCAGGAAAGAAAUAGCACCUUGGGAUUGCGACUAACUAUUGACAUCAACUCCCCUCAGUUGCAGGUUGAUGAAUGAUGUGUACCUACAAUUUUUAUGAAUACAAAACAAUUGGUUAUUCCAAACAAUUGAGUUUGUUGCUCUCCGUCCCCAAGUUCACCUCAUUUACUGAUGUUCGUACUUGUCCAGAAAAGAUAUUGCUCAAUUUCGAUCGGUUCCGUAUUGUAAGCUUGUUUUAAUGUACAAUCUCUCAAUGAAUUAUGCUUGUUGAUUGUAAUUCUAAAAUUACUUCAAACAUUAGGUGUCUAGCACCAGAUUUGCAGUGUCUAGCACCAGAUUUUUCAGACAUGAAGAUGUCUAGAACCAGAUUUGUGGUGUUCGUGGACGAACAUUUACUAAAUGCAGUCAUGUCGUCCCUACCAGGGAAUGCCGCAUAUGUACGUUACAAGAAGUUAAUAAACUGUUACAACUUAUUGAUGUGCUUGUACAGGCACCUUGUCAUGUUCGUCUAUGUUAAAACUUAGAUAUGUGGCUUAUAAUUGUGUUAAUGAUGAGUAUUACAGAUAGUAUUACAGGCACUUCAAUAGGUAUUACUCCUUUAGUACGGAAAUGAAGUUACAAUUGGCGUCUCGGAUUGGUUUCACACGACCACAUGCCAAGUAACAGUUUCGCAAAAGAACAUGAUAUUUCAUUGGGACAACUAAUUUGAAAGUGGGGUAACUAAUAUUUAAAAUGCAACAAAUAGUCAUAACGAGAUGUACAGAUUGAGUUACAACGAGUUACGUGUAUGUUACAAUUCAUUACAACAAUGAAUUGGCAAUCGGCAGCUUUUCGUCUUCUCUAGUUAAAACUAGUGAUUUUACAACUAAUGAUAUUUCCCGAUAUUACAACUAGUGAUACUACAGUUAUUUAACGUCCGAUGAACCUUUCCUCUUCUCUUGUUUGUGCAAUUGCUCUUGGCACCAACAAUAAUUCCUUCUCUCGACACAUUAAAUUUCUUAGACACUUAAUAUAGAGAUGAUCAUUUCGAACCCUACAACAUUACAUGUAGCGAGGCCUUCUCGAACAUUUCAUUAAAAUAGCGAGAUCUUCCCGAACAUUAAGCAAACCUGGAUGCGCUUAAUCGGCUCCCAAGACUUGGUUUAAAACUGAACACUGUAUUGAUGAGACUGUAAUCCUUGUUGUAGGGAGGUUGAAGAUAGCAAAAAAUGAAUCGAGUACACAGAUCCAUUGCCACUUUAAUAUGAAGAGAAAUUUGAAGUGUGAAAUUGAAUAAUAAUACGGACGAAAAUGAAAGGGGGACGAACAAACUGGAGUCUUGUCUGUGUAAGGGAUAUACACCUGCAAGGGGGUUCUUUUAUAGUCCGCAAUACCCUCUAAUAUGGUAAAAUAUCAGACCCCAACAUAUAUGAGACCAACUAGUACAUCACAAGAAUGGAAUCUGUUUACUCAAAUACAGCGCAUGGACCAUACAAUCUUGUUAAGUUCAAUAAACAUAAUAUUUGGAUGUAGCAAGGUGAUUAUGUUACAAGGCUCCGAUGUUACAAUCUCGAAUGCAGUUAUAUUUUUAUCAUACAAGCUUACUGUCACAUGUGCUGGUAGAAUUUACUUGACUGAUUGCAUAAUGGUGCUCUUCUUUGUUGCAUGUGUAGACUUGUGCUUUAUCUCAAUGUCAAGGCCUCCUAAAAUGCGAAGAACAUGUAUUUCAUAUGAUUUCAUAUCUAUUGUUGUGUAACAAAUUGUAAACCAAUUUGUAACAGUUUUCAAACACACUGUAAUUAAUAGUCUUCAAGCACCACUGUAUUAAUUUUCGAACACACUUUAACAUUCUAUUAACUAUUUUAUAACAGUUUUCAAAUACACUGUAAUUUACCAAUAACUAUUUUGUAACACUCUUCAAACACACUGUAACUAAUAGUAACAAUAACAGUUCUGUAUUAAUUUUUAAACACUGUAACACUACAAAAACUAUUUUGUAAUACUCUUCAAACAUACCGUAACUUUCCAAUAACUAUUUUGUAACACUCUUCAAACACACUGUUGCUUCCUUGCUCAGUUGUUGUCAUGGUGGCCCCUUGUUGCAAUCCCUGACUGAUGUUAUCAGGCACAACUGAUGAGGUAUAAAUUGGAUUCUCCAUGUCCAUUACAUCUUCAUUCAGCUCUGGAAGUUCUCUGGUUUCAAUAUUUGCCCUCGUAAUUGCAUCGUUUUCUUCAUACUGCGCUGCAUUAUGCUCAUCUUCUUCAAACCAUUUCUCAUCAAUUUCAUCAGCAUCAUCAUCUUUAUCGUUGCCCCCUUUUUCAGCAGAUUGAAAUUCUAGCUCUUCUUCGGUAUCAGGACUCGUGUACAUUGUAUAGUUCUCAUGUAUAGAUUUUUUUCCUUUGUCCAAUGCUUCAGGCCCAGAAGUGGAAGCUUUUGCUCUCGAAUGAGAAUACAAUAUUUCUGCAAUCUUUAAUAUCCUUCAUUGGUUAUUAACAGCAAUGUUAUACAGCUCAUUUAACUCAGCCUGUAGUUACAUCACAACAUUACCAAUCCAUAAAUGAGCCACUUGCUCUCAAGAAUGGAAAACAAUACAUGUAUAUACAUAUAUGAACAACUUCGUUAGCUUGGCAGAUAGGCUGAUAUUUGAAAGUGAUUCCAAUUUUGGCAUUUUCAAAAUGCCUUCCUGCGAGCAUCAAGGUGACACACAGGGUUGGGGAUUUCAGUUCCAUUACUGAUCCAUUUAUGUUCACGUCGAAGCAAACUUCAAAUCUUGGGUUAAAAAAUAAAUUGGCCGAUACAUGGCAAGAGUAAUUUAAAAACUCACAACUGCUAUGGGUUCAACGAUGUAACGUUCCAUCUUAUUCUUUGCGACACCUUUCCCACCCCAAUUUAGCAGGCGGGCAAACAUGUCAAUGACCUGAUCCUCAAUCGAUUUUUUUCAAUUAAAUAUUAGCAAAUAAAUAAUAUAGAGGUACUGUAUCAUUGGUCACAAGGCAGCUUGGAAAAGUAAGCUAAUCAUGGCCAUCAAAUUUAAAUUCCUAACCCGAUUCGAGACAUGCAUGCCAUUGCCAAGUGUCUUCAAAUCAACGCGUGUUAGGGAGAACUGGAACAUUUGAACCAAUAUGUCCCUACCAUUGCAUUACACAAAAUCUUACAAUAAUUAGUUGGUACAAUAAGCAACUCUGUACAGCUUAAUAAAAUGAUAGAAAAUGCUGAUAUCGGACUAAAGCCUUGGUGAGAAACUUACUUGGGAUUCUUGUUUGGGUCCCAUGCGUAGGCAGCAACCCUUUUCUCAUAUAAGUUAACUGUCACAUGUGCCGGCAGGAUAUACUCGGUCGACCUUAACAUCGUGCUCUUCUUCAUUGCUCGAGUAGGCCUUUGCUCAACUUCCUUCCCUGACACAAUCGAAGACAAGGAUUAAGGAUUUCAGAGCUUGUGUUAUAACUGGAGACUGUAAAAAUGGGUGUUGUGCAUGUAACUUGAGGUCAACGUAUUUGUAAUAACCAAUGAACACUUUGUAACUGUUCAUUAGAUUAUAUAUCUAAUAUAUGCAAGUAAAUUCUCAAAAUACUCUCUAAAACUAUUCUGUAUCGUACAUUUAUUUAUUAACCAUGAAAAUAUAGACAAAAAUAUUUAACCAACCUUGUCGAUUUCGACCAUAUGAACGUAGCCUUCUCGGAGUGUUUGCAUCAAAUGCAGGAUUUUCAUGCUGACUGGGAUUUGACGGUUGUUCCUCUAGACAAUUAUCUUCACCACAUUCACGGCUGUGACUAUUAUGCAGCUCCUGUUGUUGUUGAUCUUCUAUGUUCGCAUGCAGCUUCUUGUUCAUCUCUAAGAAAUCAUUGUUUACUUCAGCUGGACGUCUACUUUCAACACCCGUGACUGUCCUCAUUGGUGUCACAGUGCUCGAAGAUGGGCAAGGACCUUCAUCCGUUUGCUCAUUGUUAUUUGUCACUGUACCUUUACCAUUUCUGUGGUCCUCUCCCUCACUCUGUCCACUCACAUUCAUAGCAUCAUCUGUUGCUCUACCACCUCCUUCACCAUCGCUAGCCUGAAGGUUUUCAUUAUGAUCUUUGGCACCCGCAUCUUCAUUAUCAUCUUUCUCGUUUUCUUCACCAUCAUGUCCUUCUUCUGCAGAUUCAUAUUCAGAUCCUUCUUUGCAAUCGGUAUCCCGGUACAUUGCCACCUUCUGGUCCUUAUUUUUUUCCUCCGUAUACAAUGAUUCGACCAGAUCGCAUGCUGCUUUUCCCUGACGUGCCAUUUCUUUCUCAUAUGUUUUUUUCUCUUUCAGGUACUCCUCUUUUCGCUUCAUCAUGUCUUCCUUACUCAACUCAUUGUAUGCUGCUCGGGCAAUAUUAUUAUACUGCAUUGUAAUAUCACCCACGUUAAACUCAUCUACUUCUUGUGUCCUCACUUAUAUUCCAUAUACUUCUUUCUAAAUAGUAGAUUGCUUGCUUUCUUUAUUAUGAUGGAUAUGCAUACCUCUGUCACCUUCACUCCUUUCGCCAAAACCUUACAUUGAUACUCUUUCCUGCCCACAAAGUCCAGUGAAACAAAUUUAAUACUGCUGUUAAAUAAUGAUUGCUAUUUUCUAUUACCUACAAUCCGACCUGAAUUUCAUCCAUGGAUUCAACGGUGGAAGUGGUUCCGCAAUCUCACUUGUUCCUGCUACCUCCAUUUGCUCAUCUUCAGCUGUGUUUGUGGCCAUUUUUUUCCUUCUUUUCCCUGCCUUCUUCCCACUGCAAUAUGCCGAUAAAUUAUCACCAACUUCACUUUUUGAGUGCUAUACAAAUUGUGAGACACAAACAUUAGCCACUUACAUAUUAAGUGAUUUAGAUGAAGCCUCGGGUUCUUUGCCACCAAACUCUCUUACUGGUUCAUCUCUACCACCUUGGCCACUUGAAGUUCUCGAUCUUUUUCCUGCCAUCUGAACUAAGAGUUAUACAACUGCACUUCAGUUCUAUUAUGCUUCCCAGAUUAUUCUGAAUGCAUUACAAAGUAAUAACAUAUAUAAUACAUCACUCUCAAAUCUCAAUAACAAUACUUUUAAAAAUUUGUAACUUUCCUUCCACACUAUGUUUGCCAAAAUUAACAGUGAGUUAAUUAUUCUACGGGGCAAAUUCCACUUAUGAUCUACUCUCACUCAUUUAUCAUUUUUUACACAAUCGACUUCUUCUUCUAUUUCUUGUUCUACUGUACACAUAUGAGUUAUGUAUCAAUUGUGAGUUACCAAUUAAACAAUUAUGUAAUAUACUAUUUUACAGAGUAGUUCUUAUAUUGUAAUUGCUAAGUCACUGCGUGUUACACUUAUCCAACUUCAUGUUCAGUCACACUAGCGGAGCAAAACUUGUAAUCUUUUUUCCACACUCAGUAUGUCAAACUGAACACUAUAUAAAUCAUUUUUCGUACCUUGUUCAGCUUGUCGUCGGCUGCCCUACCUAUCAACAAUCGACUUCUUCUCUUUAUCCUGUGAUUAUACAAAUAUGAGUUAACUAACAAACAAUAGCUAGAAAGUUCACAAUAUGUUCAUGCAAUUUUACACAACAGUUCUGCUACUGUAACUUCAGAAUCACUGCAUGUAACAGUUAUCCAACCUGCUGUCCAACAUGCCUGGUUAAAAUAACUUGUAACCUUUUUGCCCACAAUGCAUCUAUCAAUCUCAAUGUUAUAUGCAUUCACGCAGCUUAACAAUUUUACUCUGCGUCACUAUUUAUUCAUAUCAAAUGUCUCCUUAUACAACACUCUGAUAUAUACUUAAGGAAACUAUUUUUGUAACACUUUUUUUCGCUUUGUAUGUCACCAUCAAUAACAUGUACAAACCACAAACAAACAAACUAUAAUCCGCCCACAACCAUUGCUAGCCAACAAAAUCUGCAAUAAGUUCAAAGCAAUAACUAGUACAAAUGUUAUAUUAUUACCCAAGCAAUUCCACAUUCCAUUCACACGAUUUUGCAAACACUUGGCGUACUAAGUUUUCUGCACCUGUCCUCCUCAGUGUUGGCCACCAAAUUACAUACCUUAUACUAUUUAGUACCAAUAAACAUUCUGUUCUAUCAAAAUCAUUAAAGAUCAAUUAACCUAUUCAUUUAUGACGUUAACAACAACUCACAUCGCUGCACCACCUUGUUAAGUUUCGAAAGUGAUGUCAUAACAUUGUUGUUUUGUUACCUGGGUGUUUCCUACUUUUUCUCUUCUCCAGAUGCCCCAACGUUCCACUUUACAAUUUUGAUUCACUUUUACCAAGCCCUUCCAGAUUUCAAACCGUGACAACUCUGCAUGUUGGAUUGCUCCUUCAUCACAAAUGUAUUUUUCCCUACUUUCCCCUUUCCCUAGUUUGCCCCAGCCACUUUCUUGCCUGUAGCCACUUGCUUGUUCUGCCUCCAGCCACUUUCUUAUUUUCUCUUUUUGCUUCCGUUUUCUAGUGUUCUGUGUGACUGAAAUUUGGCAAUAGUCAGUGUGGAGGGAAACCAAAAGACUUUUGUGUUUGACGAUGCAUUUGUGUUUGACGCUUUGUUUGCGCGGGAUUUUGUUGAUUGGAGCUGACGCUUCAUGACGGGCUCCGUUAGUAGCUUCAUUUUCUUUUUCCCAUUACUAAUUGAAACACUGUCGUUUUUGCCGCUUCCCAAAACUGUUCGACAUGGCUCGUUGUGGUCCUUUCGUCUACCAUUGUGAGAGGACCGUUCAGGAGCGGUCGGCCUGACGACCGCUCCUGCCCCGUAUCCGGCUGAUUGGUGCCUUUGGAGAGACGGGGAAAGGGGAGACGCUGGGGAGAGACUAGAGAGUCAACUAAAAAAAUUUAAUUUCAUAUGUAUGAAGUGCCAAAAUUGCCCUGCGCCUUGCCGUGUAUAUUGCUAAUUUUGCAUAUUAGGAGCAAUUAUCGACCAAAUGAUCAUAGGUUUAUUGAUUAAGUUAUUUAGUAGUUAAUUACUGGCGAAAAAUAGUUUGAUGGCUAAAACAUGAUUCGGCUAAUAGAUUAGUGGCUGUUGAGGUUUUUUGCCCAGCAUAAAAAUGUCCUGGGUGCAGGAAAUCAUUCUGAUUUUUUUGCCAAAAUAAUCUUCCGUUCAUAUAAUACUCCCAAACUUGAUGAUGCAAUUUACAACUUUAUUCCCUUUAUAGUUUAUAUAUUGCAAUAUAUACACGCGCAGAAUGGAAAACUAAUCCCAAAUCUUAUAUUUCUAUUUUUCACGAGGAUCCCUCUCUGUUACAUUAAUCAUUUUGCUUCUACUCUCAUUAUUUUUAUUUUUAAUAAAUGAACAAGAUAGACAGUUGGUAUUUUCUUAAAAUGCAAUGGCUAUUCUUUCAAAAAAAAAUCAAUGGUUAACAAGUCUUGACUCGUAUAUUAUGUUAUUCUUUUUUGUUAGGAUGUCUUGGGUUCCUCCGACCUUGCUACCCAACCCAACUCUACUCCCUACAUUAUGUUAUUCUUGAUAUUAUUGAGGCUAAAUUCUUAUUCUAGUAAUUAUGGUUUUCAAAUGCAAGAGAUUUUUCUUCACUUCUUUUCGCUUUUGGCAUGGAAUUAUUUUAUGUCAAAUUCAACUUUGAUCAUUUUUUUUGUCCAGAAUUUAUGUGCACGUGUUCUAAUAUAAAAUACUACAAAAAUACUAAAAUGACAAAAAAUACUAAAAUCGGAACUUUAUCAUACACAUAAUUACAAAAAACAAGGGAAAAAGGAAAGGAAUUGCAAUAUAAUAGUUAAGCAAAAUUCUAUGGCUCGUGUUCUAAUUAAUAUUCACUUCAAUUAUUUGUUUAGUUAAUUUUCUAAAAAAAUUCCUCUAUUUAAUCAAAAUAUUAAAAUUCAAUAUAGCUAUUAUUUCUGCUAAAUUAUUUUUUAAAGUACAUUAACAUCCUAGAUUCAACUAAACAAAUAUCAUGCCUAUUCAUUAAAUUGUUACUCUCUGUAAAUCCGUCCCUGAUCCCUUUACCUUUUCAUUUUCAAGAAAAAUGGUUUCACCUUUGUAUUCAAUGAGACUAUGACAUCACAUUAUCACAUAGCGGCAAAUGAACCCAUAUUAAGUGCAUAACUUCUUAAAGUACAAAUUUAUUUAAGCAAUAAACUUAUAGUAAUAGGUUACCAAAACUUUCCUUAAUACUGAUGAAGUAUGGUAGCAUAGAUGCCACUGUUUGCUCUUCUGUUGCACAAGAGCCUUUCCCAUGCUGGAAUAUACUAAGUUUUUUUUCCCCUCAAAUUACAAUUGGUCUGUCUAACGGGUCCUCAAAGGGUAUUCAUUAAAAUAUAUUUCAGAUAUUAUAUUUUUGAAAAUAUAAGAUUAAUUAAAAAAAGUAAAUAAAUACAAGAGAAGGUAGGCAAUAAUAAAUAGAGAAAGUAUAUAAAUGCAAAGAAGGAUAAUAAUUGUUAGUAUGUGUAUAUAUAUUGUAGAUUAGGUGAAUAUUAGAUGUGAUGGAUGUUUUAAGGGACAAUAUAAGUCAAUCAAUAACAAAAAGGAAAAUGUAACAUGAGCUAAGUUUUAAAUAAUACAUGAAAAUUUUCGAACUCUCACACAAUUCAUGAAUUCUUCUCUUCAGUUUUGUAUAGUAGGAGUAAUCUGCAUCACAUAGAUUCGUCUACAUUCAUGUAAGAUUCUAUGUUGGCCAAGAAAAAAACAAAACGAUUCUAUGUUGUGUUCUUACACUAUACUUAAUUUGCACUAAACUUUGUUAUGUUCUUACACUAUGCUUUGUUUCUGCUGCUUUGUUUGGAUUGAAGAUAUUUUGAAAAUUUUAUUCCAAUAUUACUUAACGUUAGCUUUUUUUAAUGCAAUAUAUGCGAGAUAAUAAAAAAUAAUGUAUGCAAGGUAAUAAAAUUGAAAUGUAACUGAAAUUAUUAAGUUCCUACCUAAAUAUAUAUGUUGAAUCCAAAUUUAGGAUUCUAAUAAUAAUUGGAGCGUGUAGGGUUACAUAAUUGAAGGAAUAAAAUAAUCACUCAAAUUAUGUAUGUGGGAGAGAAGAAAUAAAUAACUCACAAUAUUAUUGAUAUUUCAAAAUAAUGGAAGAAAGUCAUAUCAUAAGAUAACCUAAUAGAUGCUCUUAGAUACUCUUAAAAAAAUAUCACAACUAAUCCUUCAUUUAUAACCAUCUACAUUUGUUAGAUAAGAAACUACUUACAUCAACAUAUACUUCUAAAUAACACAACUACUAAAACCUAACUCUAAUAAAACUAGUAAAUAAAUAAAUAAAUACUUCUAAGUUUAAUUUAUUUUGCCAACAGUGCCUGCUUUAAACUAAACUCUUCAUUAAGACAAGUCCAACCCCAUCUUGAACAACCAACAUUAUUGAAAAUUCUGUUGCCAUAGAGACGGUGUGCAAUACCUUAAAAUUAAUUUUCAUGUUUACUCAUGGUAAUGGACGACUUUAUAUUUUGCAAAUAAUUUCACAGCAAUUUCUUCCCAAUCAAAACAGUCAUUCAAACCCAUUUAUCACCAGAGUCACCAUAUUUAUAAUCAAAUAUAAGUGCCUAAGAAUAUAAAAUCAUAAAUUUCUUUCUUGCUAAAAUGAUCACUACUACCAAAUAAUUCAGAAACCUUACUAUCAUAAUUAGUAAAAAAAAAAUUGACACUAUCAAUAAAUUCUUUAAUAGCAAAAUAUUUUUCAACUUCAAUAAAAUCCAUAUCUAUUAAAUCAAACAUCUUCCCUUCACCUUGAAGAAAGUCCGAGCCAACAAAUUUUCCAACAAUAAUUUCAUUUUCUUUACUUACCAAAUCAAAAUUUUCUUCUUCUUUUACUAAAUCAAUGAAUUCUUUUUCUUCAACAAAUUCAGUACUCCCAAUUUCUCUAAACAAAGUAUGCAAAUAAAAAAUCUUUAAAAAUUCAAAAUUUUAAAAUUACUCAUAUCAUCAACAAAUCUAUUAUUUUCAAAAUCUACAACCUAAUACUAACAAUCAAAUUUCAAUUUGAAAGUAUAUUUCUUCUCAAUAGUCUACAAAACUUAAUAAAUCCAAAAUCUCCAAGGGAUUUUAGUACAAUGAACAAAAGUUUUGUAAAUACUUUCUGCCAUUAUUUUAUGCAUCACUUAAAAGAAUAAUCGAGCCUUUAUCUUGAAAACAUGUUUUGGGAACUCACUUGCAAAAAUUCAACAAAGAAAAUCAUUCAAAUUAUAUUGUUCUAGAUAUUUUUCCACUUUUAUAACUUAACUAAAAUAUACAUAACUAUUUGUACUUAUAGAAGUUAAUAUAGCAAAUUUUUCACUAUCAAUCAAAUUUCUAUAAAAUUCUAUCAUUAUUUAACAAUUCAUAUGCCUGAAUAAAUUUUCCUCUCCCUUCUAUCUAGUUUUCCUAGUCUAUCCUGCUGAUUAAUUAAUCAAAUCUUUCAAUUGGACAAUCCGCUACAAUCAACAAAUUUGAUGAGAUUCUUCUCUAAUCUUUGUCAUAACACCCGUAACAAUUUGAUAAUUUUCAGACCAAUCUUAUAGUCAAAUUCUUCACCUAUUACAAACUUUAGGACGAACUUCGUGGUUUAACUUGAUCAACUAUAUACUCCCUAACAACUUUAUGGCCUAACUCUAUAAUAGUGGAAAUGUAGGGCUAACCUCUGAUACCA